This is a regulatory RNA element of Bacillus sp. B-jedd, 119 nucleotides long. It matches the Rfam family "SAM riboswitch aptamer (S box leader)". From Rfam's summary of the family: The SAM riboswitch is found upstream of a number of genes which code for proteins involved in methionine or cysteine biosynthesis in Gram-positive bacteria. The SAM riboswitch acts at the level of transcription termination control. The record is from Rfam. Lineage: Bacteria; Bacillati; Bacillota; Bacilli; Caryophanales; Bacillaceae.
CUCUUAUCCUGAGCCGGUGGAGGGACAGGCCCUAUGAAACCCGGCAACCUGCUUUACAGGAAUUUUCCUGGGCAAAGGUGCCAAACCUGACGCAAGGCGUUAGCCUUGAACGAUAAGAG